UACGGAGGAUCCGAGCGUUAUCCGGAUUUAUUGGGUUUAAAGGGUGCGCAGGCGGGAGAUUAAGUCGGCGGUGAAAUUUUGCAGCUCAACUGUAAAAGUGCCUUCGAUACUGGUUUCCUUGAGUGUGGAUGAAGUAGGCGGAAUUUGUGGUGUAGCGGUGAAAUGCUUAGAUAUCACGAGGAACUCCGAUUGCGCAGGCAGCUUACUAAACCACUACUGACGCUCAGGCACGAUGGCGUGGGGAUCAAACAGGAUUAGAUA
Molecule: ribosomal RNA, 261 nt
Filed under: uncultured prokaryote
Description: partial 16S ribosomal RNA
Rfam family: Bacterial small subunit ribosomal RNA
Source: RNAcentral